Molecule: long non-coding RNA, 338 nt
Organism: Tigriopus californicus
Lineage: Eukaryota; Metazoa; Arthropoda; Copepoda; Harpacticoida; Harpacticidae
Exons: 2
Source: RefSeq, a predicted model, not a curated record
GCCGCACGUCCAGACAAGGGGACAAGACCCGCCCAAAUCAACCCUGUUGGAGUGUUCUGAACUGGAUCUAGGGUGGCCUAGGGUGGCCCAUUAAUGCAUGAAUUGCCGCCAAGUUGGAGGCCAAGGUGACCUGAAGGUUCAAGUUUUCUGCCUAGAGGUGCGCUUGAAAAGGAGGACUCCGGGGACGAUCUACCGACAUUGAUCCUUGGGUGGAGCCGUGUUUCUAUAUCCUGGGGGGAGUUUAAUCAUACUUAAACUAAUUUCAUCGUAGUUUGCUAUCUUAUAGACUGUAAAUUGCUUUAAUCUAAUAAACGUAAGCGAUAGUGGGUCUCCCUGAA